AAACCAGCUCUUCGAGUGGUGUCCAUGAUUAUUGAGCUUAAAGCGUUCGUAGCCUGUUUGGUAGGUUCCUGCUCAAAUCCGGUCGCUUAACGGUCGGACUGGUAGGAAUACCGCCUUACUUGGGGACGGGAGACGGCAACGGUAUUCCAUAGGUAAGGGUGAAAUCUAAUGAUCUAUGGAGGACCACCAGUGGCGAAGGCGAUUGUCGAGAACGUGCCCGACGGUGAGGGACGAAACCCAGGGGAGCAAAUCGGAUUAGAUACCCGAGUAGUCCUGGGCGUAAACGAUGCCCGUUAAGUGUUGCAUUGGCCACGAGCCACUGCGGUGCUGUAGCGAAAGCGAUAAACGGGCCGCUUGGGAAGUACGGUCGCAAGACUGAA
This 380-nucleotide ribosomal RNA is filed under the name uncultured bacterium. Its description in RNAcentral is "bacterial SSU rRNA". It matches the Rfam family "Archaeal small subunit ribosomal RNA", at positions 473 to 853 of the family's 1478-position model. The record is from RNAcentral.